AGAAUCAACGCUGGCGGCGCGCUUAACACAUGCAAGUCGCACGAGAAAGGGGAGCAAUCCCUGAGUAAAGUGGCGCACGGGUGAGUAACACGUGGGUCAUCCACACUUCAGUGGGGAAUAACCCUGGGAAACCGGGGCUAAUACCGCAUACGCCUGAGAAGGGAAAGCAGCAAUGCGCUGGAGAAGGAGCCCGCGGCCGAUUAGCUAGUUGGUGGGGUAACGGCUCACCAAGGCGACGAUCGGUA
This 245-nucleotide ribosomal RNA is filed under the name uncultured bacterium. RNAcentral describes it as "partial small subunit ribosomal RNA". It matches the Rfam family "Bacterial small subunit ribosomal RNA", at positions 26 to 285 of the family's 1533-position model. The record is from RNAcentral.